UUUUCUAAAUCGCUGAAACCGCAUGGUACGGGGGACCCGUUCUUACGGAUUAGUACAUAAUCCGAUGGGGUGAAUCCUUAAAAAAAGGUAGGGCUACUCAUAGGCCCGAAUCCGACAGCUAACCUCGUAAGCGUUAUAUUGAGAAGGA
Molecule: small RNA, 148 nt
Filed under: Bacillus cereus
Lineage: Bacteria; Bacillati; Bacillota; Bacilli; Caryophanales; Bacillaceae
Description: c-di-AMP sequence
Rfam family: c-di-AMP riboswitch aptamer (ydaO/yuaA leader)
About the family: This family represents a conserved RNA structure found upstream of the ydaO and yuaA genes in Bacillus subtilis and related genes in other bacteria. The ydaO/yuaA element is thought to act as a genetic "off" switch for the ydaO and yuaA genes in its native state.
Source: RNAcentral